GACCAUGGCUCAGGAUGAACGCUAGCUACAGGCUUAACACAUGCAAGUCGAGGGGAAACGACAUCGAAAGCUUGCUUUUGAUGGGCGUCGACCGGCGCACGGGUGAGUAACGCGUAUCCAACCUGCCCAUCACUUGGGAAUAACCUUGCGAAAGUAAGACUAAUGCCCAAUGAUAUCCCACGAAGGCAUCCGAAUGGGAUUAAAGAUUUAUCGGUGAUGGAUGGGGAUGCGU
RNAcentral lists this ribosomal RNA (232 nucleotides) under uncultured bacterium. Its description in RNAcentral is "partial 16S ribosomal RNA". It matches the Rfam family "Bacterial small subunit ribosomal RNA", at positions 15 to 236 of the family's 1533-position model. The record is from RNAcentral.